Molecule: ribosomal RNA, 253 nt
Filed under: uncultured bacterium
Lineage: Bacteria
Also listed under: 1 other name
Description: partial 16S ribosomal RNA
Rfam family: Bacterial small subunit ribosomal RNA
Source: RNAcentral
UACGUAGGUGACAAGCGUUGUCCGGAUUUACUGGGCGUAAAGAGCGCGCAGGCGGUCGAUCAAGUCGAGUGUGAAAGCCCCCGGCUCAACUGGGGAGGGUCAUUCGAUACUGAUCGACUCGAAGGCAGGAGAGGGUAGUGGAAUUCCCGGUGUAGUGGUGAAAUGCGUAGAUAUCGGGAGGAACACCAGUGGCGAAGGCGACUACCUGGCCUGUUCUUGACGCUGAGGCGCGAAAGCUAGGGGAGCAAACGGG